CUACGGGUGGCUCCAGUAAGGAAUAUUGCGCAAUGGAGGCAACUCUGACGCAGCCAUGCCGCGUGCAGGAAGAAGGCCUUAUGGGUCGUAAACUGCUUUUAUUUAGGAAUAACCCCCUGCUCGUGAGCAGGGCUGAAGGUACUAAAAGAAUAAGCACCGGCUAACUCCGUGCCAGCAGCCGCGGUAAUACGGAGGGUGCAAGCGUUAUCCGGAUUUAUUGGGUUUAAAGGGUGCGCAGGCGGGCUAUUAAGUCAGUGGUGAAAUCCCGGGGCUCAACUCCGGAACUGCCAUUGAUACUGAUAGUCUUGAGUUUGGUUGAAGUGGGCGGAAUGUAGCAUGUAGCGGUGAAAUGCAUAGAUAUGCUACAGAACACCAAUCGCGAAGGCAGCUCACUAAGCCAAAACUGACGCUCAUGCACGAAAGCGUGGGGAUCAAACAGGAUUAGAUACCCUGGUAGUC
Molecule: ribosomal RNA, 459 nt
Filed under: uncultured bacterium
Lineage: Bacteria
Description: partial 16S ribosomal RNA
Rfam family: Bacterial small subunit ribosomal RNA
Source: RNAcentral